This is a long non-coding RNA of Motacilla alba alba, 1925 nucleotides long. RefSeq lists it as uncharacterized. NCBI's taxonomy places the organism in Eukaryota, Metazoa, Chordata, Aves, Passeriformes, Motacillidae. The record is from RefSeq and is a predicted model, not a curated record. The transcript has 2 exons.
UUUACUUGUUCCUUCUUAGGCAUUUUUGAUUGAAAGCACCUAUUUUGCUCCCUAUAUAAUGAAACAAUUUUUGGAUCCCACUGAAGUUGCUCUAUAGCAAAUGACAGUAACCUUGGUCAGCAUGUGAUUAUAGAAUGAAUGCAAGAUUUCUGCAUCAUAUAAUUUGCUUUUGAUGGAGGUAUUCAUUUUUCUUUUUGGCAUUGUAAUGAGCAUGGAAGCAUUUGCAUGGACAGGAGGCUUAAAUUACAAGCCACCACCCAUUCUUCUUCAGUGAGCAGUGGUGUCUUCAAGUUCCAGUCACUGUCCUUCUAAAGGACAGCCAGUCCUGUGGUCAGACUUCUUGUCAGCCAACAUUUCUGUUCAGUAGAAGAUAAGCGUGGGGUGAAUAUGAUAUUUCAGCUACAUUUUAUUGAGCAAGUGGCUAUAUUUAACAAGACUUUGCUCUCUCUGACCAAAAAGCAAACAAGUGCUCUUGUGAACACACAGUGCAGUAAUAGCAAAGAAUUGAGGGCUCUAUCAAGAGGCUGUAAGAGAACAGACUUUUUAAAAUCAUGGUUCAUACACUUGCCACCCAAACCUGUAUCUUCUGCUUGACUGUAGUUAUCUUACAGCUUAGGCACAAGGUAGCCAUGGUAGGCACUGGAAGAUCUAAGCUUGGACACAAAGAUGCUCCCAUUCUAAAGGCAGAAUAUAGUCAUUGCGUUGUACUGUGAUGCUUGUGGGAGGUCAGACCCAAUGAUAAUCCACCCUGCCUGCAGUCCUUAUAGAUUGGUCCAGCAAACAUCUUUGCUUUUAACCUGCAGCAGACAUCCUGUCUCAACUCCUUCUCAGGCCUGUGUACCAGCAAUGUGGAUCAUGUGUGACAAUGUGCUCAGAUGCUCAGCCUCCUGCUGCUGUGUACCAGAUCAAAUUGCUCCUCCCAGUUGCAUGAGGCCUGAGACUCAUCUCUUCUUGAUGCACUUUGGGAGCCAUGGAGAUAUGCCCUGUGUUGGUAAAUGUGAGCUGCACGGGUUACAAUAUGAUAUACAUGGUAGGCAGAGCUGAGCUGAAACAAAAUGCACUGGCUGUCUUCAAGUGUCUAUUCUUGAUUCUGCAGUGAUAAGGUGAUCUCAGGUGUCAUAUCCUAAAAAUUGUGGGGUUUGAUUGUGUCACGUUAAAGGGCACAUUUGGAAAUUGGGGUUUUUUCUACAUGCCUACAAAUAUGGCAGCAAAAACACAUUCCUGACUUCAGACUUCCAGCUUCAUGGAAAUCUUUCCUUUCCCCUCAUGCCCUUGUCUGUGCUACCCAAGGAAGGACAGCGCACUCAGGGACACCCCACGGAUGACACUGGGAUUCUGUAUCAUGGACAGUGGCUCUCUGCCUGGCAGUGAGGCUGAGAGCUACAACACCAAGGCUCCUUUCACCUGCACUCCUCUUUAUCAUCAGCCCCCUUGAAGGGAUACCCCCAUUUUCUCUGCCCAAGUGGCCUCACACAUGGCCAGGCUGAGCCCCAGCACUGCCAGUUCUGGUGGCCAUGGGCAGAAGCAGAGAUGACCUCCUGUGCUAACCAAAGAAGCUGGGCUUUUCUGCAGCCACCAGCUUAAACACAUCCUUGAAAUCUGCAUUUCUAUUUUACUAAAGUCUGGAAUCAUUAGGAAGUUUUUCUUCUGUUUUCUUCAAAGGACGCAAGCUUGACAAAGAAACAUGCACACAAAAUCUGCCUGUUUGAGAAGACAGCUGAUUCAGACAGGUUUUCUUGGCUGAUGCUGCUGGGCUCCAUGGGAUGGCGUCACCCUCACUGGUCAGCAUUACAGGCUGAGCUCAUUUCCACUGCAGAGCCACUCCAGUAGUGUAUCUUUUCCCCAGGACUGUAUAAGGGAUUGAGGAUAUAUUUUGAGAAUAUUGAAAAUUAAAUCCACCAAGAAAUAAAAUAAAAUAAAAUAAA